This 1005-nucleotide ribosomal RNA is filed under the name Thalloloma hypoleptum. Its description in RNAcentral is "LSU rRNA". It matches the Rfam family "Eukaryotic large subunit ribosomal RNA", at positions 143 to 1099 of the family's 3401-position model. The record is from RNAcentral. Lineage: Eukaryota; Fungi; Ascomycota; Lecanoromycetes; Ostropales; Graphidaceae.
UUGUAAUUUGGAGAAGGUGCUUCGGGAACGACCGCGGUCCAAGUCCCAUGGAACUGGGCGUCAGAGAGGGUGAGAACCCCGUAUGCGGUCGACGGUCCGACCCGCGUGAAGCCCUUUCGACGAGUCGAGUUGUUUGGGAAUGCAGCUCUAAAUGGGUGGUAAAUUCCAUCUAAGGCUAAAUAUCUGUCGGAGACCGAUAGCGCACAAGUAGAGUGAUCGAAAGAUGAAAAGCACUUUGAAAAGAGAGUGAAACAGCACGUGAAAUUGUUGAAAAGGAAGCGCUUGCAACCAGACUCGUUGGUAGGGUUCAGCCGCGCUUCGGUGCGGUGUACUCCCUGCGAUCGGGCCAGCAUCGGUUUCGGCGGCCGGACAAAGGCCCCGGGAACGUAGCUCCCUUCGGGGAGUGUUAUAGCCCGGGAUACAAUGCGGCCUGCCGGGACCGAGGACCGCGCUCUGCUAGGAUGCUGGCGUAAUGGUUGCCAGCGACCCGUCUUGAAACACGGACCAAGGAGUUGACCUAUCGUGCGAGUAUUUGGGCGUCAAACCCGGAUGCGUAAUGAAAGUGAAUUUAGGUGGGAGCCCCCGGGCGCACCAUCGACCGAUCUUGAUGUCUUCGGACGGAUUUGAGUACGAGCAUAAUGGGUCUGACCCGAAAGACGGUGAGCUAUGCGUGAAUAGGGUGAAGCCAGAGGAAACUCUGGUGGAGGCUCGCAGCGGUUCUGACGUGCAAAUCGAUCGUCAAAUUUGCGCAUAGGGGCGAAAGGUACGUAUCAGCUCCUCUGGUAGUUUUUGAAGUCGUUCCUCCGGACGAAUGCGCUAACGCAUCUAAACAGACUAAUCGAACCGUCUAGUAGCUGGUUCCUGUCGAAGUUUCCCUCAGGAUAGCAGCAACGAACGUAGUAGUCUCAUGAGGUAGAGCGAACGAUUAGAGGCCUUGGGGUCGGAACUGACCUUAACCUAUUCUCGAACUUCGAAUAUGUGAGAAGUCCUUGUUACUUUGUUGAA